RNAcentral lists this ribosomal RNA (206 nucleotides) under uncultured Eubacteriales bacterium. RNAcentral describes it as "uncultured Clostridiales bacterium partial 16S ribosomal RNA". It matches the Rfam family "Bacterial small subunit ribosomal RNA", at positions 568 to 774 of the family's 1533-position model. The record is from RNAcentral. Lineage: Bacteria; Bacillati; Bacillota; Clostridia; Eubacteriales.
UGCGUAGGUGGUCUUGUAAGCGUGGGGUGAAAGGCAGUGGCUUAACCAUUGUUAGCCUUGCGAACUGUGAGACUUGAGUGCAGGAGAGGAAAGUGGAAUUCCUAGUGUAGCGGUGAAAUGCGUAGAUAUUAGGAGGAACACCAGUGGCGAAGGCGACUUUCUGGACUGUAACUGACACUGAGGCACGAAAGCGUGGGGAGCAAACA